CCUCUCCUAAAAUUCGAAAUUGAGGGGUGGGGGGUUUUCAUUUGAUUUUUCAUUUGGGGUUAGAUGGGGUUUGAGAGAGGAGGUGAGAAGAAGAGAGAAAGGUGAGAAGAGAGGAGAAAACGCGAAGGUGAGAAGACGGAGGAAGAGCGAAUCGCAAAUCUUCCAGUUUUCCUCCUACCAACGGUGGCGGCUUGGGGCUUCCGGAGAUGCGUCGAGGUUGAGCUACGGCAAUGGCAGUUUCUCUUCUCCUUUCUCUUCUCCGAUGAGCAACGGCGAUGAUAGUGGAGCGAAGUGACAAGCACGACGGCAGGUUCAUGGUUGGUCGUCUCCUUCCUCUUUCUUCUCCGACGAGCGGUGGCGACAGUGGCGGCAAAAAAUAAACGACCUACUGUUUUGAUGCUUGAGACGAUUGGGACUAAACGGAUUAGAUGGGCUGAUUGCUAUUCCUUUUUCUUGCCAGCUCAGGCCCUCUUUAAGGUUGCCCUUUAAUACAGCCACCUAUCAUGAUUGCAAGUUAACGGCCUGCAACGCUGUCCUCUAGGAUUUUAACUUAUGGCUAGUUAUUUAGAGAUUCAUCAUCGGAAGGUACCAACACAAGUGCAACAAUAUGGAAGUUUCCCUCUUCCUAUGCAUCAGCUAGCAUUUAUAAAAAAAAUGAGCACAUGAACCUUGUAAGUUACCUGGAUACACAGAGCAUGGAGAGGAGAAGACUGUUGUUGUCGAAUAUGUUAGUAAUGGAAAAUUUAGAGAACAUGUAUAUGGUAGGACUAAGGCUUUAUUAAGUCAUCAAAUUCAGAAAUCACAUAUUAUGAUGAUAAAAACAAUAUUCAAUGACUUUUAUCAAUUAUUGUUAUGUGCUACAUAUUUCAGCUUUUGGGUUGUGCUUCAAUUCAGUUAGGACAAUAUUCAAGGAAAUAA
Non-coding RNA from Lupinus albus (white lupine), 918 nucleotides. NCBI's taxonomy places the organism in Eukaryota, Viridiplantae, Streptophyta, Magnoliopsida, Fabales, Fabaceae. The record is from the annotation of a GenBank genome assembly.